Molecule: long non-coding RNA, 407 nt
Organism: Rosa rugosa (rugosa rose)
Lineage: Eukaryota; Viridiplantae; Streptophyta; Magnoliopsida; Rosales; Rosaceae
Exons: 3
Source: RefSeq, a predicted model, not a curated record
CUUCUCAUGAUCGGUGGAGGAAGAAUUGAAGGUGUUUGAGAGUGUGAACAGUAGCGUGAACAGUAACUGACGAGUUCUUGGUUUUGUUUUGAUCUUUCCGGCCAAAUCGUUGGAUUUUGUUGGUUGUUGCAGGACGUAUUGAGCCUUCGAGCGAGGAGGACACGGGCAGGCAGCAGGAUUAGCUGCGAGACUCACCUAUUUCAGAUUUGCCGAGAUCGCGUCCGGGAACUCGAGGCAUAGGAAUCAGCGCUUCCGUUUUGUCCGUAGGUUAUCACUUAACCUACCUUGUAUGAUAUCGGCUUAGUUAUGUAGCACUGCUCUGAUAACCUUUUAAAUUUGGACAAUGUCAUUUCCUGAGAAUUUGUUAUCGUGCUGAACUUGUGAUGGGAUUCGUACCUUCUGAAUGU